Long non-coding RNA from Xenopus tropicalis (tropical clawed frog), 2672 nucleotides. RefSeq lists it as uncharacterized. The transcript has 2 exons. The record is from RefSeq and is a predicted model, not a curated record. Lineage: Eukaryota; Metazoa; Chordata; Amphibia; Anura; Pipidae.
UGGGUAAGUGAAUCCAAUCUCCCCCCAGUACUUACCCAGGUACAGAGCUCUGAUUCUCUGUACUUCCUGCUCCUGGGCAGAAGACUUGGUCUCGACCAAUCAUUUGUGAGUUUUCCCAUUGCAUCGAUCACUGUGAGCUAGAGGGAGGAGUUAGUUGAAGUGCCUGACCAUGGGAAAUAGAGCAGCCCGGGAGCAGGAAGUACAGAGAAUUAGAGCUCUGGAUUCACUUACCCAGGGACCUGCAUGGUAUUUGGCCCUUGAAGCUCUUGAACCAUAUAAGCCCAUGUGUGGAUAUAGCCUUCCUCUGAUUGGCCGGCUGCAAUUCAGCUUGAAAGCACCCAAUCACCAGUGUUUCAGAAUUAAAUUAUAUCCCCCCCCCCCCGACUCAGGAAAAACAAUGCACUUUAUAUCGGGGGGUGGUUCUAUUGGAUCUCAUGCUCCAAUUGUACAAUUAAAGUAUUGCCCCAACCCCCCUGAUCCUAAAAACCCCCCAUUUUAUCUAUGCAGGAUCUACUUGGCCCAUUAGAGGAGGCUCAGUAUAAUGUUACCCCCACUGCUAUAACCUCCUAUACCAUCGGCAGGCCCUGUGGCUGCAGGUAGCCAAGUCAGGCACAAUUGCCCCUCUCCCCCCCUACCCUGGGGUAUAAAACUAUAGACAGAGAUCUGAACAUGAUGUAUAAUACAUGCCCUGAUUUUAAAGGCAAAGUAACAAGCACUUUAUUUAAUGCACUCACAAGUCCACGGGUCUUUGUGUUAUAGACCCGAAUGGGUACUGGGCCCUUUAAGGCCGGGGCAUGUUCUGGAGGCCGAGGGGUUAACGGACAUUGGGCUGAUCGAUAGCUUUAGUCAUAGACACUGAAUGGUCUGAGAGCGUAGAGUGUCUCUUAUCAAACAGGUUUAACCUUUCCUUGGCUGCAUGCAGAUUGACCCAUCAAACAAGUUUAACCUUUCCUUGGCUGCAUGCAGAUUGCCCCAUCAAACAGGUAUUAUAAAGCUGCAUGAAGUCAAGAAAAGGUUAAACCUGUUUGAUAAGGUGAAAAAUGCGGAGGGUAAGCUGUGUGAGCAAACGAAUUAGCUGCAUGUGGCCAAUGAAAGGUUAAACCUGUUUUAUAGAGAGAGCUGCAUGAAGCCGAGAAAACAGGCUUAACCUUUUCCUGGCUGCAUGCAGGUUGCCCUGUCGAACAGGUUUUGCCUUUUAUCGGCUUCAUGUAGCUCAUCCCCACAAUCUCAACCAUAUCAAACAGGUUAAACCUUUAACUGACUUCAUGCAGCUCAUCCCCUAAAAUCUCAGCCUUAUCAAACAGGUUUAACCUUUUCUUCGCUGCAUGCAACUCUUCUUGGCUGCAUAAAGCAUACCCCCACAGUCUUUACCAUAUCAAACAGGUUUAACCUUUCCUUUGCUGCAUACAGCAGACCCCCCACAAUCUUCACCUUAUCAAACAGGUUUAACCUUUCCUUUGCUGCAUACAGCAGACCCCCCACAAUCUUCACCUUUAUCAAACAGGUUUAACCUUUUAUUGACUUCAUGCAUCCCAUCCCCCAAAAUCUCAGCCUUAUCGAACAGGUUUAACCUUUCCUUUGCUGCAUACAGCAUACCCCCCCACAAUCUUCACCUUAUCAAACAGGUUUAACCUUUUAUUGACUUCAUGCAUCCCAUCCCCCAAAAUCUCAGCCUUAUCGAACAGGUUUAACCUUUCCUUUGCUGCAUGCGGCAUACCCCCCACAAUCUUCACCUUAUCAAACAGGUUUAACCUUUCCUUCGCUGCAUGCAACUUGCCCUAUCAAACAUGUUUAACCUCUACUUGGCUGCAUACAGCUUAUCCUUCGCAAUCGUCACCAUAUCAAACAGCAUAUCAAACCUUUUACUGAUUUCAUGCAGCUUAUCCCCCAAACCUUAUCAAACAGGGUUAACCUCUGCUUGGCUGCAUGCAACUUGCCCAUUACUGUCUUCACCAUAUCAAACAGGGUUUAACCUUUUCUUUGCUGCAUACCCCCCACAAUUUUCUCCUUAUCAAACAGGUUUAACCUUUUACUGACUCCAUACAGCUCAGCCCCAAAAUCUCAGCCUUAUCAAACAGGUUUAACCUUUGCUUGGCUGCAUACAGCAGACCCCCCACAAUCCUCUCCUUAUCAAACAGGUUUAACCUUUUAUUGGCUUCAUCCUGCUCUCUCUAUAAAUGAGGUUUAACCCUUUCCUUGGGCGGAUGCAGCUCACCCCCAGAUCAGAUUUAUCCUGAUUCCAGAAGCUCUGAACCAAAAUCAAGUGGCACUUUACCUUUCCUUUAUUGAACCCUCGGACACCCAAGAUGGCCGCCAGUUCCUUAGAGACCCCCCCCCCCACUUUACAAAGUAACCCCUUUUUAGAUUUCAUCUUGAACUCUUUAUUGUGUUUGUAUUUCCUACUUUUAAUUUGGAAUAUCGUUGGUAUGGAAGCUGAUUGGUGGGUUGGGUAGGGGGGCGUGGCUGUGUCUGUUACCCCGAGUGUGUAUGAAUUCAUAUUUUUGUUUUUCUGGGUGGGUUUUUUUUUCCUGUUAUUUCCGAUGAUUUCCCAUCAUGUGACUGACGAGACUGCGCUACGGUUUCUGUGUGUUCUCUUUUAUUCUCCUUAAUGAUAAUAAUAAUUAUAACAAUGUUGCUGCUUCAGUUGUAAAUAAAAGCUUUUAUUCCUCGUA